RNAcentral lists this long non-coding RNA (226 nucleotides) under Elaeis guineensis (African oil palm). RNAcentral describes it as "long non-coding RNA (EGUI_LNC082684)". The record is from RNAcentral. Lineage: Eukaryota; Viridiplantae; Streptophyta; Magnoliopsida; Arecales; Arecaceae.
AGACCGCCAUGAUGACUUGCAAGCAACUCACUAUACUUAGGCACUGGACUACCUGAAUUUCUAAUUCAGUGAUGGAAGGCUGCUGGGUGUAGUCAAGUACUUGACUAGUUAGUGCGUGUGUCAAGAUGGGAUUGACCACUCCAGUUUAGGAGCUGUGUACAGUCAUGUUUCAAUUUAGCAAAACCUUGGUCAGGGUAGUCCUUGUGAGGAGUCACAGGACUGUUUG